RNAcentral lists this ribosomal RNA (674 nucleotides) under Neofavolus suavissimus. Its description in RNAcentral is "LSU rRNA". It matches the Rfam family "Eukaryotic large subunit ribosomal RNA", at positions 72 to 731 of the family's 3401-position model. Lineage: Eukaryota; Fungi; Basidiomycota; Agaricomycetes; Polyporales; Polyporaceae. The record is from RNAcentral.
GGAUUCCCCUAGUAACUGCGAGUGAAGCGGGAUGAGCUCAAAUUUAAAAUCUGGCGGUCUUUGGCCGUCCGAGUUGUAGUCUGGAGAAGUGCUUUCCGCGCUGGACCGUGUACAAGUCCCUUGGAACAGGGCGUCAUAGAGGGUGAGAAUCCCGUCUCUGACACGGACUACCAGUGCUUUGUGAUGCGCUCUCGAAGAGUCGAGUUGUUUGGGAAUGCAGCUCAAAAUGGGUGGUAAAUUCCAUCUAAAGCUAAAUAUUGGCGAGAGACCGAUAGCGAACAAGUACCGUGAGGGAAAGAUGAAAAGCACUUUGGAAAGAGAGUUAAACAGUACGUGAAAUUGCUGAAAGGGAAACGCUUGAAGUCAGUCGCGUCGUGCGGAACUCAACCUUGCUUUUGCUUGGUGYACUUUCUGUACGACGGGCCAGCAUCGAUUUUGACCGCCGGAAAAGGGUUGGGGGAAUGUGGCACCUUCGGGUGUGUUAUAGCCCCCGGUCGCAUACGGCGGUUGGGAUCGAGGAUCGCAGCGCGCCGCAAGGCAGGGGUUCGCCCACUUUCGCGCUUAGGAUGCUGGCGUAAUGGCUUUAAACGACCCGUCUUGAAACACGGACCAAGGAGUCUAACAUGCCUGCGAGUGUUUGGGUGGAAAACCCGAGCGCGUAAUGAAAGUGAAAG